Molecule: ribosomal RNA, 253 nt
Filed under: uncultured bacterium
Lineage: Bacteria
Description: partial 16S ribosomal RNA
Rfam family: Bacterial small subunit ribosomal RNA
Source: RNAcentral
UACAGAGGGUGCGAGCGUUAACCGGAAUUAUUGGGCGUAAAGCGUACGCAGGCGGCUUUGCAAGUCAGGUGUGAAAUCCCCGGGCCUAACCUGGGAACUGCAUUUGUGACUGCAUGGCUAGAGUUUGUCAGAGGGGGGUGGAAUUCCACGUGUAGCAGUGAAAUGCGUAGAUAUGUGGAGGAACACCGAUGGCGAAGGCAGCCCCCUGGGAUGUGACUGACGCUCAUGUACGAAAGCGUGGGGAGCAAACAGG